CUGAAGAUGAAUUGGGUUGUAGCUGGCUUCUCUCGAGGAGCAUGUGCACGCCCUUUCAAAUUCUUACUCUCCUGUGCACCUAUAGCUAGGCCAUGAAACACUUCUCGAGUGAGAACUCGGAUUUUGGAGGGUUGCAUUGUUUUUGGUGGCUUCCCUUGUGAGUUUCAUGGUCUAUGUUCUUCAUAUUUACACACUUCGAAUGUCUUUGAAUGUCUUUGUGGGUUCUUUGUGACCUAUAAAAUCCAAUA
This 248-nucleotide unclassified non-coding RNA is filed under the name uncultured Agaricomycetes. RNAcentral's name for it is "sequence contains ITS1". The record is from RNAcentral. Lineage: Eukaryota; Fungi; Basidiomycota; Agaricomycetes.